This 497-nucleotide ribosomal RNA is filed under the name uncultured bacterium. RNAcentral's name for it is "partial 16S ribosomal RNA". It matches the Rfam family "Bacterial small subunit ribosomal RNA", at positions 28 to 507 of the family's 1533-position model. The record is from RNAcentral.
GAUGAACGCUGGCGGCGUGCCUAAUACAUGCAAGUCGAGCGAACAGACGAUGAUCUUGCUCCUCUGACGUUAGCGGCGGACGGGUGUGUAACACGUGGAUAACCUACCUAUAAUACUGGGAUAACUUCGGGAAACCGGAGCUAAUACCGGAUAACAUGUUGAACCACGUGGUUCAACGGUGAAAGACGGUUUUGCUGUCUGUUAUAGCUGGAUCCGCGCCGCAUGAGCUAGUUGUUAAGGUAACGGCUUACCACGGCAACGAUGCGUAGCCGACCUGAGAGAGUGAUAGCCCACACUGGAGCGGAGACGCGGUCCAGACGACUACGGGAGGGAGCAGUAGGGAACCUGACGCAAUAGGCGGAAGUAUGACGGAGCAACGCGGAGUGAGUGAAGAAGACGUUCGGAGCGUAAAAAUCUGUUACUAGGGAAGAACAAAUGUGUAAGUAACUAUGCACGGAUUGACGGUACCUAAUAAGAAAGCCACGGCUAACUACGUG